CAGCAGCCACGGUAAUACGAAGGGUGCAAGAGUUACUCGGAAUUACUGGGCGUAAAGCGUGCGUAGGUGGUGGUUUAAGUCCGUUGUGAAAGCCCUGGGCUCAACCUGGGAAUUGCAGUGGAUACUGGGUCACUAGAGUGUGGUAGAGGAUAGUGGAAUUUCCGGUGUAGCAGUGAAAUGCGUAGAGAUCGGAAGGAACAUCUGUGGCGAAGGCGACUAUCUGGGCCAACACUGACACUGAGGCACGAAAGCGUGGGGAGCAAACAGGAUUAGAUACCCCGGUAGUCCCUGUCUCUUAUAC
Molecule: ribosomal RNA, 301 nt
Filed under: uncultured bacterium
Lineage: Bacteria
Description: partial 16S ribosomal RNA
Rfam family: Bacterial small subunit ribosomal RNA
Source: RNAcentral